RNAcentral lists this ribosomal RNA (83 nucleotides) under Chrysemys picta bellii (western painted turtle). The record is from RNAcentral. Lineage: Eukaryota; Metazoa; Chordata; Testudines; Emydidae.
GGCGGGAUCCACAAACCAAGCAGGGUUGGGCCUGGUCAGUACAUGGAUGGGUGACCUGCCAGGAGAACAAAGUGGUGCUGUCU